CGUGUAGGCGGAUUGGUAAGUCAGAUGUGAAAGCCCCGGGCUCAACCUGGGAACGGCAUUUGAAACUGCCUAUCUAGAGUGGUGGAGAGGGAAGCGGAAUUCCUGGUGUAGAGGUGAAAUUCGUAGAUAUCAGGAGGAACACCGGUGGCGAAGGCGGCUUCCUGGACACUUACUGACGCUGAGACGCGAAAGCGUGGGGAGCAAACA
Molecule: ribosomal RNA, 207 nt
Filed under: uncultured bacterium
Lineage: Bacteria
Description: partial 16S ribosomal RNA
Rfam family: Bacterial small subunit ribosomal RNA
Source: RNAcentral